AAUAAAAUGUUGAUUUCUAUGUAAUGGCUGCUACUGUGAAUAUACAGUUAUGUAUCAUGCUUUGUACUUAUGGUGAAAUUUUUCCACAUAUCAUUGAAACUUGCUGAAAUUUUAUUUUUAAAAAAUAGUUGGACAUCAGCUUGCAGAGAAUGGCUUCCACACGUCAGAAAGACCAGCUUCCCUGUGCAAACAGGGCUUGAAGGAAGUGUGCACCCACCUGCUAAGUGCAGAAGGCCUUCCCUGGCAUCACAUUCUGACAAAUGGUUGGGUGGUUUUGAAGAGAGGAGUCUUGUGGGUUCUAACCCAGUGCUGAUUUCUAAUCUUAUUUCUGCCGUAAACUGAAUGCCAUUGUUUCCCCUCUCUGAACCCCAGCCCUUCAUCUUCCAUUUGAAUAUUGCCAGGUACUUUCAACUCUAGAAUAUUAUGUCUCUAGACUUAGUAUCUUAGUGACCCUGGAAUAUACAUUCAUUUUUAUUAGUAGUAAUACUAUGUUUUCAUUCUUUCAAUGCCUUUUCAUUAUGUUGUUGCUAUAUUCCAGACACCGACAUGUUUUCCCAAGUAAUGUUUACAAUCACCGUGAGAAACAGGUGCUGCUAGUAUCUUCAUGUUGUAGGCAAGGUGAGUGAAGCUCAGAGGGGUGAAGGACUGAGGGUGGGUGUGCGGCCUGCACUUCCACUCUGCCUAUGAGAAGGACCCUGAAAACAGACUGCUUCCUACCUACUGAGCGGUCAUUACCCAGAGCUGGACCCUCCUGCUGGCAGUCUACCAGCCUGGUGUGCUGGCCACCCAGUUACUCACUCGUUGGCUCACUGGUCAUGGUAGACAGAAUAAGGUGUCCAUGUCUUAAUCCUCAGAACUCAUGAAUACAUUAUGUGGCAAAGGGAAAUUACAGUUGCAGGUGGAAUUAAGGUUGCAAUCAGCAACCCUUAAAAUAGGCAUGUGGAUGAAAUGAAGGUUCCUGUGGCCGGGAUUCUCACCUGGCCGGGGUCGGCUAGCUCACCACACACAGGUGGGCAAUGAAUUUUUAUUGACUCUAUAUAAAGAGCCCUGCCCAGUGCUCUGGGUGGCACAGUGGCAGGGCUGCUGCAGGGCUGCAGGAGAGCAGAGCAGAGGCUGGAGUGGUGGCAGCACUGAGGACAGAGCCAGAGGAUGGCUGUGCAGGCAGAGAGGCCCAGAGAAUGGCUGUGAAGACAGAGAGGCCCAGAGGCAGAGACCGGCUUGCUGCAUGCAGACUUGCUCUGAGUGGAUGGGAUUUUAGUGAUUGACCUGCCACCGUGGGAACACAGUUGGAUGAAGGGGGCGAGAGCCAGGAAGUGCAGGUGGCCUCCAGAAGCUGAAAAGGCGAGGCAACAGAGUCCCAAGGAAGAAGGACAGCACCCCCCGCAUCCCCCCAACAUCUUGAUCGUAGCCAGGCAUGACAGCAGACGCCUGCAAUCAGUCUUGGCUGCUCUGCUUCCCUUCCGGCUGACCUGGGAGGUUUUCUGGAAUUCAGAGAAGUGCCCCGUGCCUGGCGUCCAUGAGCUCUGGGUUCGAAUCCCAGCUCUGUGAUUUUUGAAAGGUUGCUUUGUCCAGAGGGAAUCUCAGUUGU
Manis pentadactyla (Chinese pangolin) is the source of this 1588-nucleotide long non-coding RNA. RefSeq lists it as uncharacterized. The record is from RefSeq and is a predicted model, not a curated record. Lineage: Eukaryota; Metazoa; Chordata; Mammalia; Pholidota; Manidae. The transcript is spliced from 3 exons.